Small nucleolar RNA from Ornithorhynchus anatinus (platypus), 137 nucleotides. Lineage: Eukaryota; Metazoa; Chordata; Mammalia; Monotremata; Ornithorhynchidae. The record is from RefSeq and is a predicted model, not a curated record.
CCCCUCUCAGGGUCGCACCUGGAGAGUGCCCAGUACUCUACCAGUCUCGACUACGGAGGGAGAGUCAAGCAGAGGCAUAUUCAUUCCGUUUCUAACUAGGGCAGUGGCUAGCGAGUGGAAGGCAAUCUGCUACAAAU